GUGCUGGCUUCCUUAGCACAUAUACUAAAAUUGGAAUGAUACAGAGAAGAUGAGCGUGGCCCCUGAGCAAAGAUGACAGGCAAAUUCAUUAAGCAUUCCUGGAGACU
RNAcentral lists this small nuclear RNA (107 nucleotides) under Neotoma lepida (desert woodrat). The record is from RNAcentral. Lineage: Eukaryota; Metazoa; Chordata; Mammalia; Rodentia; Cricetidae.